AACGAACGCUGGCGGCAUGCCUAACACAUGCAAGUCGAACGAGACCUUCGGGUCUAGUGGCGCACGGGUGCGUAACGCGUGGGAACCUGCCCUUAGGUUCGGAAUAACUCCCCGAAAGGGGUGCUAAUACCGGAUAAUGUCUUCGGACCAAAGAUUUAUCGCCUUUGGAUGGGCCCGAGUUGGAUUAGCUAGUUGGUAGGGUAAAAGCCUACCAAGGCGACGAUCCAUAGCUGGUCUGAGAGGAUGAUCAGCCACACUGGGACUGGGACACGGCCCAGACUCCUGCGAGAGGCAGCAGUGGGGAAUAUUGGACAAUGGGCGAAAGCCUGAUCCAGCAAUGCCGCGUGAGUGAUGAAGGCCUUAGGGUUGUAAAGCUCUUUUACCCGGGAUGAUAAUGACGGUACCGGGAGAAUAAGCUCCGGCUAACUCCGU
RNAcentral lists this ribosomal RNA (432 nucleotides) under uncultured bacterium. RNAcentral's name for it is "partial 16S ribosomal RNA". It matches the Rfam family "Bacterial small subunit ribosomal RNA", at positions 29 to 506 of the family's 1533-position model. The record is from RNAcentral.